UCCUCUCUCCUCCUUCCCCAUCCUUUCCCUCGCCCACCACCUUUCCUCCCUCUCCGAUAUUGCCGGCGCGCGCCCUCUUCACCUCCCUCCGGCACCACUCCCUCCGCCCAUCCUCGCUCUCCUUCAUCGCCCUUCUCCUCUUCUCCUUCCUCAGCCGCCACCCCAGGGAGCCUGCCAAGAUCCUUUUGGUUUUGGAAAUUUUUGUUCGCGGUGACGUGAAUGGUGUGUUUUUGAUUCAUACAUUUGGUAUGCUCUCGGAUUUGGUGUUGAUUCCGAUUUAAUUUGAUCUAAUUUUGAUUAAUUUUAAGAAAAGAAAAGGCAUUUUUUUAGAAGGGUCUUUUAGGAUUUUCUUUGAUUUUACGUAAUUGCAGGAUUAGUGCGAUGGGAA
Molecule: long non-coding RNA, 388 nt
Filed under: Ananas comosus (pineapple)
Lineage: Eukaryota; Viridiplantae; Streptophyta; Magnoliopsida; Poales; Bromeliaceae
Description: long non-coding RNA (ACOM_LNC007087)
Source: RNAcentral